UGUGUGCGUCUCAGCACCCCUGUCAGAAAGGGGGUACCAGGGGGAUGAGGAGGGAGGGACGGUGCAGGGAGCGUUUCGCAACUCAGGAAGCAGGCUGGGCGCUGGUGUGUUACUCACCGCAGGCCGGCAUCUAGGACCCGGGGAGUCUGACCCGAAGCCCCUUCCCUGGUCCUCACCACCUCCUGCUGUCUCGUCCACCGGGAGGAUGUGUGUAGGGGAUGACACCUGGCAGCUUUUGUAACGCUAGUGCUGCCCACCGAUGUGUAUUUCCACCAUCUUUGGCCCACAGGACGCACACGCAAACACGCUGCUUCACAGUAAGUCUUCCACGCUCACAACUGCUGGGAGCUUGGGAUCUCUGCAUUUCUGUAGCUCCAGUGUUUGGCUGGAGGGAUGAUUAGUGAUAAAAGCAGAAAACAAAUGGUCUGAAAUCCAGAUACCCCAGCCAGGCCUCAGAUGGCUAAGUCCCAGUAGCUGUAAUAAUAAAAUAAUGACAUCACCCUUCUCUGCGAUCCAAUGUGGUGUGACAGGAAAAUAAACUGCUUAUCAUUUGCGAGUCCCAGCUAUAUUUUAUAUUGUUUUGCUUCUUUUCCAUGUGUUUUUCUCAGUUGCUUCAACACGAAGAGCUAUAUUCCUGUCAGUUUUAACCCCACUUUCAGCCUGGGAAACAUUCCUCAGCUCACUUAGAGAUACCUCUAACUUGCUUUUCCAAUUGCUGCAAAAGCUCAGAACAUGUCUGGGACCUAACCACCUUCUUCCCCAUGCUGGUGACAGAGGAGUGGGUACCCUGAGCCCUGGAGAUGAGAUCUCUGGAAGGUGGUCUGUUCUCAGCUGACCCUCCUGGGUGUCUCUGGACCCCGUAUCAGACUUCGUUGCCGCACACCCAUUACAGAAGUUUAAGGAAUUUUGAGGUAAGCAUGAGAGCAUUAGCAGGCUCAUUAGCCUGCUUCCUGAGUCAGCUGUCAACAUUCUGCCUUCAAAUUCAAGAUGAAUGAAAACAGAACAUGAGCGGAAAGACUUGUGAUCGACUGGGGAGGUGGGCAUUCCUCCAGGGUCUGGUUGACUUGAAUUAUUUUGUGUAUCAGGCUGUCUGAAGUUUAUUGCAUCUUUCCAUUGGGGUUUUGAUAUUCUGGAAUUCCCAAAACCUGUGUGAGAGUAGGGUUGUGGGCCCAGGAGAUGGUAAAUUCCUUACCGGCAAAAAGAAUGUACUUUCCCAGUGAUGCUUGCAGCUCAUGGCAAUGUUCUUGCUGAACGUUGGGUGCCAAGUGAAUGUUGGUUGAAGUGAAACUGCAGUUUGAUCUGAGUAGCUCAUUACAGUAUCACACACACCUAGGUCUCUUCCACCAUUGACUUCUCUGAGUCAUCGUAUAGAAUGGGGAAUACGGCCAAAAUUUUAUAAUAACUCUAAAUGGAGUAUAAUAAAAAAAUAUAGAAUCACA
This 1439-nucleotide long non-coding RNA is filed under the name Bos indicus x Bos taurus (hybrid cattle). RNAcentral describes it as "lncRNA (ENSBIXG00005007606.1)". Lineage: Eukaryota; Metazoa; Chordata; Mammalia; Artiodactyla; Bovidae. The record is from RNAcentral.